CACUUGUUCACUGGGAAGCGCACGCCCUGGCGAGGGAUUCUGCUUUUUGGACCACCCGGCACCGGGAAGUCCUACCUGGCCAAGGCCGUGGCCACCGAGGCCAACAACUCCACCUUCUUCUCCGUGUCGUCCUCCGACCUGAUGUCCAAGUGGCUGGGAGAGAGCGAGAAGCUGGUGAAGAACCUCUUUGAGCUGGCGCGGCAGCACAAGCCCUCCAUCAUCUUCAUCGACGAGGUGGACUCGCUGUGCGGCUCCCGCAACGAGAACGAGAGCGAGGCGGCGCGGCGCAUCAAGACGGAGUUCCUGGUGCAGAUGCAGGGUG
Molecule: non-coding RNA, 322 nt
Organism: Tinamus guttatus (white-throated tinamou)
Lineage: Eukaryota; Metazoa; Chordata; Aves; Tinamiformes; Tinamidae
Source: RefSeq, a predicted model, not a curated record